RNAcentral lists this ribosomal RNA (352 nucleotides) under uncultured bacterium. RNAcentral's name for it is "bacterial SSU rRNA". It matches the Rfam family "Bacterial small subunit ribosomal RNA", at positions 917 to 1267 of the family's 1533-position model. The record is from RNAcentral.
GGACCCGCACAAGUAGUGGAGCAUGUGGUUUAAUUCGAAGAUACGCGCAGAACCUUACCAACACUUGACAUGUUCGUCGCGACUUUAAGAGAUUAGAGUUUUCGGUUCGGCCGGACGAAACACAGGUGCUGCAUGGCUGUCGUCAGCUCGUGUCGUGAGAUGUUGGGUUAAGUCCCGCAACGAGCGCAACCCUCACUUUUAGUUGCCAUCAUUAAGUUGGGCACUCUGAAAGAACUGCCAGUGAUAAGCUGGAGGAAGGUGGGGAUGACGUCAAGUCCUCAUGGCCCUUACGUGUUGGGCUACACACGUCUACAAUGGUAUCUACAACAGGAAGCAAAGCUGCGAAGUUAAG